UCUCCCUUGCAGCCGCGUCCUCCCUUCUCUCUCUCUCCCGACCUCUCGUCCCCUCUUUCUUCUUCUUCCCUCUGCAAGCGCCAGAAGCCACUAUCUCCGGCCACCACCUUGCAAAAUCGCCACCACCCAUCAAUGCAGCACGAAGAUGCGACCCAAACCCAAGAGAAAUUGAAGCCAUGCAUCGACCCCAACCUCUCUCUUUCGUUCUCCUUCUCUCUGACACCGCCGGAGACUCCAGCUCCGGCCACCAUCUCACCACACCAUCACCACUAAUCGAACCAGCACCAAAAUCUGACCAAAGCCCAACUGAGAUCACCACCAAGCAUCGUCGUUAAUCUCCACAGACGACCACCACAGUCCCGCCGGGUUGGCCGGCCAGAGCUUCCAUCUCCGACCAUCAUUUCAACACACCGCCGACACCAACGUGCCCAGACCAAACCGAGCAUUGAAACCCCAAAGUUUCGCUGACGAUCGACGCCGGAAGACUACCGCACGCAUCGUCACCGGAGUAUUGCCUCUGCAUGUCUUCGCUUUCCGGCCUCCAGUUCAAACCGAGCGAAACCACCAUCAAGAAUCGAGUCAGCGCCUUGUCAAACACCAAAACCCUAGGGCCCCGACCUCCGACUCAGACCAGAGCCGCCGUACGCGCUUCACGCGCCACUGCUGGCGUAUGAGCCACCGCAGCUCCACCGCUCAUGGAUGCCGAAUUUCCAGAUAGUUUCGAUUAGGUUGAAGGAGUUCUGCAUUUUUGGAGGACUUCGGGUAUGUGGAGUUCGGGAAUUUGGAGUUUUGGAGGAGGAGGAGGAGCUGCUGGGUUAAUUUCAGUUGAAACUGGAGAAGGUGUUUACACGACUAUGGGUGGUGGAUUGCAGCAUUUGGAAUUAGCUUUCAGUUUGGAAAAGAAGAAUUGGUAAGGGUCCGGGUUUUGAAUCUGCUGUUUGGUGAAACUAUUAUGGUUGUAAUCUGUUGUUUGAUCGAUGAAUGAGUAUGGUUAAUGUGUGAAAUUUUUAGUAGCAACUAUGUGACUCGGUUAAGUCUUA
Long non-coding RNA from Rosa rugosa (rugosa rose), 1040 nucleotides. RefSeq lists it as uncharacterized. The transcript has 3 exons. Lineage: Eukaryota; Viridiplantae; Streptophyta; Magnoliopsida; Rosales; Rosaceae. The record is from RefSeq and is a predicted model, not a curated record.